RNAcentral lists this ribosomal RNA (440 nucleotides) under uncultured bacterium. RNAcentral describes it as "bacterial SSU rRNA". It matches the Rfam family "Bacterial small subunit ribosomal RNA", at positions 339 to 796 of the family's 1533-position model. The record is from RNAcentral.
CUACGGGAGGCAGCAGUGGGGAAUAUUGGACAAUGGGCGAAAGCCUGAUCCAGCCAUGCCGCGUGAGUGAUGAAGGCUCUAGGGUUGUAAAGCUCUUUCACCGGUGAAGAUAAUGACGGUAACCGGAGAAGAAGCCCCGGCUAACUUCGUGCCAGCAGCCGCGGUAAUACGAAGGGGGCUAGCGUUGUUCGGAAUCACUGGGCGUAAAGCGCACGUAGGCGGAUCUUUAAGUCAGGGGUGAAAUCCCGGGGCUCAACCUCGGAACUGCCUUUGAUACUGGGGAUCUCGAGUUCGGGAGAGGUGAGUGGAACUGCGAGUGUAGAGGUGAAAUUCGUAGAUAUUAGGAAGAACACCAGUGGCGAAGGCGGCUCACUGGUCCGGUUCUGACGCUGAGGCGCGAAAGCGUGGGGAGCAAACAGGAUUAGAAACCCCGGUAGUCC